UGCGCCAAAGUAAGUUUGAAGUCAAAAGUAUGAAAUUCAGGAUAGAUGCAAAAGUAAAUUCUCUUGCAACCCAGAGCCCUUUGUUUGGUAUGAGUUUUGAUCCAUAUAAGAAGGAAUAUG
RNAcentral lists this small nucleolar RNA (120 nucleotides) under Jaculus jaculus (lesser Egyptian jerboa). RNAcentral describes it as "Small nucleolar RNA SNORA40 (ENSJJAG00000005745.1)". It matches the Rfam family "Small nucleolar RNA SNORA40". Rfam says of the family: The snoRNA ACA 40 belongs to the H/ACA family of snoRNAs and guides the pseudouridylation of 28S rRNA subunit at position U4565. NB This family has a high threshold value to exclude a large number of closely related sequences that do not appear to have conserved H and ACA boxes, and may be pseudogenes. The record is from Rfam by way of RNAcentral. Lineage: Eukaryota; Metazoa; Chordata; Mammalia; Rodentia; Dipodidae.